ACACCAGUGGUUCAGUGGUAGAACUCUCACCUUCCAAGUGGGAGACUGGGGUUCAACUCCGGGCCAAUGUA
This 71-nucleotide transfer RNA is filed under the name Loxodonta africana (African savanna elephant). It matches the Rfam family "tRNA". From Rfam's summary of the family: Transfer RNA (tRNA) molecules are approximately 80 nucleotides in length. The record is from Rfam by way of RNAcentral. Lineage: Eukaryota; Metazoa; Chordata; Mammalia; Proboscidea; Elephantidae.